UCUCCGUAGGUGAACCUGCGGAGGGAUCAUUACAGAGUUCAUGCCCUCCGGGUAGAUCUCCCACCCAUUGCUAUAACUACUCUCGUUGCUUUGGCGGGCCGCUGGGCCCUGCCCGGCCGCCGGCCCCGGCUGGCGCGUGCCCGCCAGAGACCUCACAAACUCUGAAUGUUAGUGUCGUCCGAGUAACUAUACAAUCGUUAAAACUUUCAACAACGGAUCUCUUGGUUCUGGCAUAGAUGAAGAACGCAGC
RNAcentral lists this unclassified non-coding RNA (250 nucleotides) under plant metagenome. RNAcentral describes it as "partial contains small subunit ribosomal RNA, internal transcribed spacer 1, and 5.8S ribosomal RNA". The stretch from base 202 to 250 matches the Rfam family "5.8S ribosomal RNA", at positions 1 to 49 of the family's 154-position model. The record is from RNAcentral.